GAUGAGUCCCUCACUGAAUCCACAUUAUAUGAGAUGCCAUCAUCUCUACGGAGGCUCUUUGCAACGAUACUGGUUUUUUGUGAGCCAAGCGAUGUGCGCGAACUCUGGGAGAAGCACCUGGAUGCAAUGUCAGAAGACUAUCGUCAUAGCAAUCCAUCCAAAGUUGUAGUUGAGCAAUUGGUUCUAAUAGAUAUUAGGAAUAUGCUACAAUCAAUGGGCAAGGAGAUAGAGUCAUUCCCUCUUCCCGAUAUCCAGGAAGAAUAUGACACUUCCACCGGUGUGACAAGGGAGAUCUUCGAGGAAUCCACCAUAGAGCUCAAUGUUGAGGACACAUAUCUAUCAGAUUCACUUAAUUCAGAUCAGAGGGCCGCAUACGAUGAAAUUAUGUAUGCUAUUGAUCGUGAUGAGGGUGGUGUCUUCUUUGUGGAUGGGCCUGGAGGCACCGGAAAGACUUUUUUGUAA
Molecule: ribosomal RNA, 462 nt
Filed under: Triticum aestivum (bread wheat)
Lineage: Eukaryota; Viridiplantae; Streptophyta; Magnoliopsida; Poales; Poaceae
Description: partial small subunit ribosomal RNA
Source: RNAcentral